UGUUAGGAUACCAAACAGGAAGACAGGCUGCCGAUGCACUCCUGCUAAUUCUGGUAUGAAGAAAAAAGAAAAUUCCAGAAUGAUUCUGAGGACUUGGAGCUGGAGCAAUCAACAGUGGAACUGGCAUUAAAUGACAUGAAGUAGAAAGUUCUUCAGAAUUAUUGUCAAACAAGGAAAUAAAUGCAAAUAUCCUCUCAUCAUUUACUUAUGGGCUGUGAUUCCCCACUGACAAGUCCGAACACAAUUGUCAGAGGAUAAACAACAGGAAUAAGACAUUAUUAAAGGUCAAGAAACUGCUUUCUCAGGAUCCCAUAAGCAGGUGCCC
Molecule: long non-coding RNA, 325 nt
Organism: Hyaena hyaena (striped hyena)
Lineage: Eukaryota; Metazoa; Chordata; Mammalia; Carnivora; Hyaenidae
Exons: 3
Source: RefSeq, a predicted model, not a curated record